AGACGUAGGGGGCGAGCGUUGUCCGGAAUUACUGGGCGUAAAGGGCGUGUAGGCGGCCAGGCAAGUCAGUGGUGAAACACCUGGGCUCAACCGAGGUAUUGCCGUUGAAACUGUCUGGCUUGAGGGUAGAAGAGGAGUGUGGAAUUCCCGGUGUAGCGGUGAAAUGCGUAGAGAUCGGGAGGAACACCAGUGGCGAAGGCGGCACUCUGGUCUAUACCUGACGCUGAGGCGCGAAAGCCAGGGGAGCAAACAGGAUUAGAUACCCUGGUAGUCCUGGCUGUAAACGAUGGGUACUAGGUGUAGGGGGUUUAGAUACCCUCUGUGCCGCAGCUAACGCAUUAAGUACCCCGCCUGGGGAGUACGGCCGCAAGGCUGAA
Molecule: ribosomal RNA, 377 nt
Filed under: uncultured bacterium
Lineage: Bacteria
Description: bacterial SSU rRNA
Rfam family: Bacterial small subunit ribosomal RNA
Source: RNAcentral